Molecule: ribosomal RNA, 1390 nt
Filed under: uncultured bacterium
Lineage: Bacteria
Description: partial 16S ribosomal RNA
Rfam family: Bacterial small subunit ribosomal RNA
Source: RNAcentral
AGAGUUUGAUCCUGGCUCAGGACGAACGCUGGCGGCGCGCCUAACACAUGCAAGUCGAACGAGCGAGAGAGAGCUUACUUUCUCGAGCGAGUGGCGAACGGGUGAGUAACGCGUGAGGAACCUGCCUCAAAGAGGGGGGACAACAGUUGGAAACGACUGCUAAUACCGCAUAAGCCCACAGGUCGGCAUCGACCAGAGGGAAAAGGAGCAAUCCGCUUUGAGAUGGCCUCGCGUCCGAUUAGCUAGUUGGUGAGGUAAUGACCCACCAAGGCAACGAUCGGUAGCCGGACUGAGAGGUUGAACGGCCACAUUGGGACUGAGAUACGGCCCAGACUCCUACGGGAGGCAGCAGUGGGGAAUAUUGCACAAUGGGCGCAAGCCUGAUGCAGCGACGCCGCGUGAGGGAUGGAGGCCUUCGGGUUGUAAACCUCUUUUGUUUGGGAGCAAGCCUUAGGGUGAGUGUACCUUUCGAAUAAGCGCCGGCUAACUACGUGCCAGCAGCCGCGGUAAUACGUAGGGCGCAAGCGUUAUCCGGAUUUAUUGGGCGUAAAGGGCUCGUAGGCGGCUCGUCGCGUCCGGUGUGAAAGUCCAUCGCUUAACGGUGGAUCUGCGCCGGGUACGGGCGGGCUGGAGUGCGGUAGGGGAGACUGGAAUUCCCGGUGUAACGGUGGAAUGUGUAGAUAUCGGGAAGAACACCAAUGGCGAAGGCAGGUCUCUGGGCCGUCACUGACGCUGAGGAGCGAAAGCGUGGGGAGCGAACAGGAUUAGAUACCCUGGUAGUCCACGCCGUAAACGGUGGAUGCUGGAUGUGGGGACCAUUCCACGGUCUCCGUGUCGGAGCCAACGCGUUAAGCAUCCCGCCUGGGGAAUACGGCCGCAAGGCUAAAACUCAAAGAAAUUGACGGGGGCCCGCACAAGCGGCGGAGCAUGCGGAUUAAUUCGAUGCAACGCGAAGAACCUUACCUGGGCUUGACAUGUUCCCGACAGCCGUAGAGAUACGGUCUCCCUUCGGGGCGGGUUCACAGGCGGUGCAUGGUCGUCGUCAGCUCGUGUCGUGAGAUGUUGGGUUAAGUCCCGCAACGAGCGCAACCCUCGCCCUGUGUUGCCAGCACGUCGUGGUGGGAACUCACGGGGGACCGCCGGGGUCAACUCGGAGGAAGGUGGGGAUGACGUCAGAUCAUCAUGCCCCUUACGUCCAGGGCUUCACGCAUGCUACAAUGGCCGGUACAACGGGAUGCGACACCGCGAGGUGGAGCGGAUCCCUUAAAACCGGUCUCAGUUCGGAUUGGAGUCUGCAACCCGACUCCAUGAAGGCGGAGUCGCUAGUAAUCGCGGAUCAGCAACGCCGCGGUGAAUGCGUUCCCGGGCCUUGUACACACCGCCCGUCAAG